GGCCUAACACAUGCAAGUCGAACGAGAAGCCACCUUCGGGUGGUGGACAGUGGCAGACGGGUGAGUAACGCGUGGGAACGUGCCUUUCGGUUCGGGAUAACCCAGGGAAACUUGGGCUAAUACCGGAUACGCCCUUCGGGGGAAAGAUUCAUCGCCGAAAGAUCGGCCCGCGUCGGAUUAGCUAGUUGGUGGGGUAAUGGCCUACCAAGGCGACGAUCCGUAGCUGGUCUGAGAGGAUGACCAGCCACACUGGGACUGAGACACGGCCCAGACUCCUACGGGAGGCAGCAGUGGGGAAUAUUGGACAAUGGGCGAAAGCCUGAUCCAGCCAUGCCGCGUGGGUGAAGAAGGCCUUAGGGUUGUAAACCCCUUUCAGCGGGGAAGAUAAUGACGGUACCCGCAGAAGAAGUCCCGGCUAACUCCGUGCCAGCAGCCGCGGUAAUACGGAGGGGACUAGCGUUGUCCGGAAU
This 470-nucleotide ribosomal RNA is filed under the name uncultured bacterium. RNAcentral's name for it is "bacterial SSU rRNA". It matches the Rfam family "Bacterial small subunit ribosomal RNA", at positions 45 to 551 of the family's 1533-position model. The record is from RNAcentral.